RNAcentral lists this ribosomal RNA (544 nucleotides) under Leptodontidium sp. C_1_BESC_137j. RNAcentral describes it as "eukaryotic LSU rRNA". It matches the Rfam family "Eukaryotic large subunit ribosomal RNA", at positions 1 to 550 of the family's 3401-position model. Lineage: Eukaryota; Fungi; Ascomycota; Leotiomycetes; Helotiales; Leptodontidiaceae. The record is from RNAcentral.
ACCUCGGAUCAGGUAGGGAUACCCGCUGAACUUAAGCAUAUCAAUAAGCGGAGGAAAAGAAACCAACAGGGAUUACCUCAGUAACGGCGAGUGAAGCGGUAACAGCUCAAAUUUGAAAGCUGGCUCUUUUAGGGUCCGCGUUGUAAUUUGUAGAAGAUGCUUCGGGUGUGGCCCCGGUCUAAGUUCCUUGGAACAGGACGUCAUAGAGGGUGAGAAUCCCGUAUGUGACUGGGUGCUUUCGCUCAUGUGAAGCUCUUUCGACGAGUCGAGUUGUUUGGGAAUGCAGCUCAAAAUGGGUGGUAAAUUUCAUCUAAAGCUAAAUAUUGGCCAGAGACCGAUAGCGCACAAGUAGAGUGAUCGAAAGAUGAAAAGCACUUUGGAAAGAGAGUUAAACAGUACGUGAAAUUGUUGAAAGGGAAGCGCUUGCAACCAGACUUGCGCGCUGAUGAUCAUCCGGGCUUCUGCCCGGUGCACUCGUCUGCGCUCAGGCCAGCAUCGGUUUCGGUGGUGGGAUAAAGGCCUUGGGAAUGUGGCUCCUCUCGGG